Daucus carota subsp. sativus is the source of this 525-nucleotide long non-coding RNA. RefSeq lists it as uncharacterized. The transcript has 2 exons. The record is from RefSeq and is a predicted model, not a curated record. NCBI's taxonomy places the organism in Eukaryota, Viridiplantae, Streptophyta, Magnoliopsida, Apiales, Apiaceae.
ACAAUUUCUUUAUUUAACUUCGCAAUUAGUUAUCUCCUACUCAACCAACUCUUGUCUACAUUCCAAAGCUCCUGUUUUUAUUCAAUCUUUCUAACAAACGCAGGCAAGCUCUCUCUGGUUUUUAUCAAGGCGAAAGAGAAUGCAGCAAACAGAGGGUAAGGCAAGAAGAUCAAGGGUGUUGAAGAGAAAGAUGGAAUUGAAGAACUUGGAGCUUUACAUUGAAAACAAAUGCAUCAUUGAAGCAAAUGAAAGGCUGAGGAAAAAAGCUGCACUUCUUCACUUGGAGAACUUGGCUUUGCGGUCUCAACUCCAAAUCAUUAGUCCUAUACAAUCUGGCCUUCUGCCCAAUUAAGUGAAUAGAUUAACUUCUUAGCUUUGUUUAAGGCAAGUCUCUAACAUUAAUCUAUGUCAUGGUAAAUAAAGUGGAAACCAAAUUCAGUUACUGUUUUAUUAGCUAAUUGCCAAGAAAGUUAUCGUAGUUGACGGCUUAAGGUAAUCUUCAAAUAAAUAUAUGUAUUUUAGAUC